GUGCUCACUUCGGCAACACAUAUACUAAAAUUGGAAUGAUACAGAGAUUAGCAUGGCCCCUGCACAAGGAUGACAUGCAAAUUCGGGAAGCGUUCCAUAUUUUU
Equus caballus (horse) is the source of this 104-nucleotide small nuclear RNA. The record is from Ensembl. Lineage: Eukaryota; Metazoa; Chordata; Mammalia; Perissodactyla; Equidae.